RNAcentral lists this ribosomal RNA (565 nucleotides) under uncultured archaeon. Its description in RNAcentral is "bacterial SSU rRNA". It matches the Rfam family "Archaeal small subunit ribosomal RNA", at positions 326 to 890 of the family's 1478-position model. The record is from RNAcentral.
CGGGGUGCACCAGGCGCGAAAACUUUACAAUGCGGGAAACCGUGAUAAGGGGACACCGAGUGCCAGCAUCAUAUGCUGGCUGUCCGGGUGUGUAAAAUACACCCGUUAGCAAGGGCCGGGCAAGACCGGUGCCAGCCGCCGCGGUAACACCGGCGGCCCGAGUGGUGAUCGUGAUUAUUGGGUCUAAAGGGUCCGUAGCCGGUUUGGUCAGUCCUCCGGGAAAUCUGACGGCUCAACCGUUAGGCUUUCGGGGGAUACUGCCAGGCUUGGAACCGGGAGAGGUAAGAGGUACUACAGGGGUAGGAGUGAAAUCUUGUAAUCCCUGUGAGACCACCUGUGGCGAAGGCGUCUUACCAGAACGGGUUCGACGGUGAGGGACGAAAGCUGGGGGCACGAACCGGAUUAGAUACCCGGGUAGUCCCAGCCGUAAACGAUGCUCGCUAGGUGUCAGGCAUGGCGCGACCGUGUCUGGUGCCGCAGGGAAGCCGUGAAGCGAGCCACCUGGGAAGUACGGCCGCAAGGCUGAAACUUAAAGGAAUUGGCGGGGGAGAAGGGCGAAUUCGCG